GGUGAGGUAGCGAAGCGGCCCAACGCGCCUGCCUUGAGAGCAGGUGGCUAUCAUAGCCUCAGGGGUUCAAAUCCCCUCCUCACCG
Molecule: transfer RNA, 85 nt
Organism: Halodesulfurarchaeum formicicum
Lineage: Archaea; Methanobacteriati; Methanobacteriota; Halobacteria; Halobacteriales; Halobacteriaceae
Rfam family: tRNA
About the family: Transfer RNA (tRNA) molecules are approximately 80 nucleotides in length. Their secondary structure includes four short double-helical elements and three loops (D, anti-codon, and T loops). Further hydrogen bonds mediate the characteristic L-shaped molecular structure. tRNAs have two regions of fundamental functional importance: the anti-codon, which is responsible for specific mRNA codon recognition, and the 3' end, to which the tRNAs corresponding amino acid is attached (by aminoacyl-tRNA synthetases). tRNAs cope with the degeneracy of the genetic code in two manners: having more than one tRNA (with a specific anti-codon) for a particular amino acid; and 'wobble' base-pairing, i.e. permitting non-standard base-pairing at the 3rd anti-codon position.
Source: Rfam